This 492-nucleotide ribosomal RNA is filed under the name uncultured bacterium. RNAcentral describes it as "partial 16S ribosomal RNA". It matches the Rfam family "Bacterial small subunit ribosomal RNA", at positions 29 to 507 of the family's 1533-position model. The record is from RNAcentral.
AGUGAACGCUGGCGGUAGGCCUAACACAUGCAAGUCGAACGGCAGCACAGUAAGAGCUUGCUCUUACGGGUGGCGAGUGGCGGACGGGUGAGGAAUACAUCGGAAUCUACUUUUUCGUGGGGGAUAACGUAGGGAAACUUACGCUAAUACCGCAUACGACCUACGGGUGAAAGCAGGGGAUCUUCGGGCCUUGCGCGAUUGAAUGAGCCGACGUCGGAUUAGCUAGUUGGCGGGGUAAAGGCCCACCAAGGCGACGAUCCGUAGCUGGUCUGAGAGGAUGAUCAGCCACACUGGAACUGAGACACGGCCCAGACUCCUACGGGAGGCAGCAGUGGGGAAUAUUGGACAAUGGGCGCAAGCCUGAUCCAGCCAUACCGCGUGGGUGAAGAAGGCCUUCGGGUUGUAAAGCCCUUUUGUUGGGAAAGAAAAGCAGCAGGUUAAUACCCCGCUGUUCUGACGGUACCCAAAGAAUAAGCACCGGCUAACUUCGUG